GCUCCGCUUCAGGAUGGGCCCGCGUCCCAUUAGCUGGUUGGUGAGGUAAAGGCCCACCAAGGCAACGAUGGGUAUCCGGCCUGAGAGGGUGAACGGACACAUUGGGACUGAGAUACGGCCCAAACUCCUACGGGAGGCAGCAGCUAAGAAUCUUCCGCAAUGGACGAAAGUCUGACGGAGCGACGCCGUGUGAAUGAAGAAGGCCGAAAGGUUGUAAAAUUCUUUUGCAGAUGAAGAAUAAGAAGAAGAGGGAAUGCUUCUUUGAA
This 266-nucleotide ribosomal RNA is filed under the name Treponema denticola. RNAcentral describes it as "partial 16S ribosomal RNA". It matches the Rfam family "Bacterial small subunit ribosomal RNA", at positions 212 to 473 of the family's 1533-position model. The record is from RNAcentral. Lineage: Bacteria; Pseudomonadati; Spirochaetota; Spirochaetia; Treponematales; Treponemataceae.